Molecule: long non-coding RNA, 388 nt
Filed under: Mytilus galloprovincialis (Mediterranean mussel)
Lineage: Eukaryota; Metazoa; Mollusca; Bivalvia; Mytilida; Mytilidae
Source: RNAcentral
CUUCAAAUGAUCGAUUCAAUUCCAGAUAGUUUGCGUCUUUUUCCAUCUACUGCGUAUGCUUAUUUCCUUGAAACUUUGUGUCAUUGUCAUCUUAAUAAUGUCAGACAAUGUCAGGAUUCCCUUCAGAGUUUACAACUGGUAAUAGAAGAAGAUUAUUUCAUUUCUAACUCUUUGUAUAAAGCAAACUUCUACACUUUGUUAGGAAAUGCUUUACAGUUAUUUGGUCGAAAGGAAUCCGCAAGACGAGCAUUCGUACAAUCUGUUGAAGUAUUCCCAUACUAGGAGUACAAAGUUGCAGUAUGUAAAUAGAUUUCUAUAAAGGAGUUAAGUGUGACAUAUGUGUAGUCAGAUAAACUACCAAAAUUGUGUUGUUUUGAUUCUAUUUAUU